This 716-nucleotide long non-coding RNA is filed under the name Oryza brachyantha (malo sina). Its description in RNAcentral is "long non-coding RNA (OBRA_LNC001869)". Lineage: Eukaryota; Viridiplantae; Streptophyta; Magnoliopsida; Poales; Poaceae. The record is from RNAcentral.
UUUCAUAUAAAUUUAACCAUUUAACAAUAAUUUGCUAAAUAACAGCUCAAAAAAUUUCAUUAUUGUUUCAACUUGCGUCUACAGGCAUCAAGGAGUGUUAAGUGUAGGUCCCACAUAGCAGUAAUGGUGCAUCUGCAGUCAACGAAAUAAUUUUGUUGAGUGCACAAAGUUUUAUCGUCUUUGUUUUUCCCCAAAAGAAAAACCAUACCAGAUUGUCAAUGUAAAUCAAAAGGUACACUCCCACAUAAUUGAUCCACUGUUUGCAAAGAACAUAGCCCCUUAUGAUAACUGCACAAUGGCCAACAGAUGGUACCAGUUAAAUUCAAUCAUACUUUCACAAAGGGUUACACCUUGAACCAAGAUAUCCUAAAUUGGACACAAGCACUCAACAAAUAUUACUAGAAUCUAAUGCAUAUCUAAGGGUCUUUUUUAACCAAAGUACCAAACCUUGCUGUCUAAAUACGAAAUAAUAUUGGCAUUUAAUUGUCAAGAGUUAGUAAUAAAAUUGUAAAGCCUGAAUUUAGUUUGUCAGCUUGUUAAACGUAAACCAUUGCUCAACUCGCUAAAUAAUAGAAUAUGCUUACUGACCCAUGAAGUUUAACAUGAGUGUAGUUACUAGUUAGUAUAGGUAAUAUGCUGCCUUCAUUCUUCUCUAAAUGAUGUUGAUUAGUUAAAAUUAGCUACGUCACAUAAAAACAGAGGUGAGUACAAGACUG